Molecule: long non-coding RNA, 603 nt
Filed under: Mytilus galloprovincialis (Mediterranean mussel)
Lineage: Eukaryota; Metazoa; Mollusca; Bivalvia; Mytilida; Mytilidae
Source: RNAcentral
GUUUUAAAAAGCCGUAGUCUUGAACGAAAAACACAGUACUCAACGUAAAGUUUUAUAAUAGGUUACAAAUAAUUAAUGAAAGACGUGUGAAUUUAAUUGUUUUUACAAUUUUAAAAAGACGUUGAAAUGUUCGUAUUUUGUGCAAUUGAAAAUUUAAGGACAUGAUUUAUAUUCAUAUAAGAAAUCAGACGAUACCAAGAGAAUAAUUUGACCACUAGUGCAAAACUUACCAGUCGGAAGAACAAAGACGGAAAACAAACAAAAAAUAAACAAAAAAUUACUCAGUAACUUAAAAUUUGUCUCACUCUAACAUUUAUCUUAAAAUAAGUAAAAAUUAUGUCAUUCAACUCCCAGUUUUCAACUUUUUCUACAUGUGCAGAAAAUAAACAGGUGUCUUCUAUUCCGUCCGCAAUUUAUGGGAAAACUAAAUCUAAAUUUAGAACCAUAUGUGAAAUUGAAAGUACACAUGUAAGAUAAAAUAUAACAUGUCAUUUCUUCUUUCACCAAUUCCAAUUUCAAAGAGAUAUAUAGCGAAAUCUGUUUUAUUUUAUUGUGCCUGUGUGCAUCAUUCAAAAUAAGAGAAUGUAAUUUUGAAGUAUCAAG